AUACGGAGGGUGCGAGCGUUACCCGGAUUUACUGGGCGUAAAGGGCGUGUAGGCGGUCCUUCAAGUCCGAUGCUAAAGACUGGGGCUCAACCCCAGGACUGCGUUGGAUACUGUGGGGCUAGACGGUCGGAGGGGGCAGCGGAAUUUCCGGAGUAGCGGUGAAAUGCGCAGAUACCGGAAGGAACGCCCAUAGCGAAGGCAGCUGCCUGGACGACUUGUGACGCUGAGGCGCGAAAGCGUGGGGAGCAAACCGGAUUAGAUACCCGGGUAGUCCACGCCCUAAACUAUGAGUGCUGGGUGUCCGGCUUCUGCUGGGUGCCGUAGCUAACGCGCUAAGCACUCCGCCUGGGAAGUACGCACGCAAGUGUGAA
RNAcentral lists this ribosomal RNA (371 nucleotides) under uncultured bacterium. Its description in RNAcentral is "bacterial SSU rRNA". It matches the Rfam family "Bacterial small subunit ribosomal RNA", at positions 523 to 898 of the family's 1533-position model. The record is from RNAcentral.